This 18968-nucleotide long non-coding RNA is filed under the name Daucus carota (carrot). Its description in RNAcentral is "long non-coding RNA (DCAR_LNC006374)". The record is from RNAcentral. Lineage: Eukaryota; Viridiplantae; Streptophyta; Magnoliopsida; Apiales; Apiaceae.
ACUGUUCUUGAUCAAGGAAAACUAGAUGGAGAAUCUAAUGACCUUAAAUUACUUCCAGAAGCAAGAACUUCUAGACAAGAAUUUAAAAGUUUAAGGCCUCAAGCGGGAACUUUGGUUGUCUGUCCAGCAAGUGUGCUUCGUCAAUGGGCCAGGGAGCUGGAUGAGAAAGUUGCAGCAGAAGUUUCACUUAAAGUUUUAAUUUAUCAUGGAAGCAAUAGAAUUAAGGAUCCUGAUGAACUUGCAGCGUAUGAUGUGGUUCUCACAACAUAUGCACUUGUGGCGAAUGAAGUUCCAAAACAGCCUGUGGUUAAUGAGGACGACGAUGAUCCUAAAAAUGGUAAACGAAAUGGGUUAUUUGAUGAGAUCUCUACAAAUAAGAAAAAGAAUAAGAUGACAAAUUCGAGGAAGAGAAAGUGGAAAGGUAAAAGAAGAAAUGGCAUGUCUGAUGUUGACUUGGAUUCUGGUGCUCUUGCAAGAGUGCGGUGGUUGAGAGUCAUAUUAGAUGAAGCACAAACAAUAAAGAACCACAGAACACAGGUGGCAAGAGCCUGCUGUAGUCUUAAAGCGAAAGUAAGAUGGUGUUUAUCUGGAACGCCUAUUCAGAAUUCAAUUGACGAGUUGUUUAGCUACUUCAGAUUUUUGAGAUAUGAGCCAUAUAAUGUUUAUAAAUCAUUUUGUGGUAUGCUAAAGCACCCAAUUUCAUUAAAUUCAAUUCAAGGUUAUAAGAAGCUGUAUGCUGUGCUGAGGACUGUGAUGCUUCGACGGACUAAAGGUUAUUUCCUUAUUCUGUCGUGCUUUUUCCUUCUGACUGUCUUUCACAUAGAUAGAAUCCUAAUGGAGCAGGAUAACAUACUUUAUCACAGUAAUGUGUUUCUUUCUGUAUAAUUUAUACGGUUACAUGGUCAGUUGUGUGUUAAUAUUUCUGUGUCUACGAGUGUGAAUCCAUGGUCAGGAUUCUUUAUGUACUACCAUCCUUUCUACUCUAAUAAUUCCUUGAUUCUGACUGGGGACUGAAAGCUGGUAGGGCAAAGGAAGAAACAGAAACUGUAAAUUGAGUAUGAUGAUUGAUGAGAGAUAUGUACAGUCAACAUUGUUUCCAAUAUCACAUUCUUUAUAUGUACAAGUCAAAAACAAUCAGAAUUGAAGUAGGAUCGGAUAAUGUAUUAGGUCAUACAUUGAUAGUUCUCGAUGUCAAAUAUAAGGUCAUACAUAUCAAACCUAUUACUAAACACUACUAAUUUUUUUAAGGGGUGCUUGGACAUGUAAAAUUUUAAUUUACUACUUCUUUUUUUUGGGUUAGGGGGGUGCUUAAGCCCCCCAGCUCCCUUUCUGGAUCCACCCCUGAUUCGAAGUGAAAAAAAAUUAGUUUCUUUGAAGUUCAGUUAGUAGACAUGAAAUUGAUGUGUUCAAUAGUUAUAUGUAGCUUAGCUGUUUAGAUUACACAUAGCAUAGACCUAAUUGUCUUGAGCCUAGUCCGUAGGGGUUUUAGUUUCUCCCUUUGUGUAUGUAUUGACAUUUUUUUUUGCCCUUUGGUUGUACAUAAAUACUGUUGUCUGUUAGUUUUGAUUGCAAACAAAUUUGGGGAUCACUUGGGGUAGAGAUUGUUUUAUGGUUCAGUUUCCCAGGGUUUAGUAUAUCAAGUCUUGUUUCUUCUGCUUCUUGCUAUUUAUACCUGCGAUGAUAUGACUGUAGUAGUUGACAAUUAUAACUCAGCAUUAAACUUACAUAAAUUGUUGUCUUUAUUCAAUAGGCAUGCCUGCUAUACCUCAUCAUUUCUUUCAUAUAUUUGUAGCAAUAUCUGUGAUUAUAUUGAUAUUUAUCCUUUUGUGAUCCAGGCACAGUUAUUGAUGGAGAGCCUAUCAUUACAUUACCAUCAAAAACAAUUAAUUUAAAAAAAGUAGAAUUCUCUGUCGAGGAGCGGGCAUUCUAUCAGAGACUUGAAGCUGAAUCUCGGUCGCAGUUCAAAGUAUGGUUGAUUAGAAAACAUCCUUUCAGUUCUGUCUUUGUUUGGUCUGUUUUUUAUUUUUUUGGUUAGGAGAAGCUGACACAUUUACAUUAUGCUGUCAUAAUUAAGUUUGUAAGAACCAUAGAAUUCUUGUGAAUUUUACAUAUACAACAUACCCUGUUCCCAUGCUUAAAAACAUAUAUGCACAUAGUCUCAAGUAUAUUAUUGUCUUGGGUAAUAACAUCCUUAAUUAAUAUGUCCGAGACUUGGGAAUAGUUCAAAAUACAUGAAACUAUCUCAAAGUAAAUCAUCGAUUGGAUCUAAUACAUGAAACUAUCUUAAAGUAAAUCAUUGAUUGGAUCUAAUACUUCUCAGUUCUGAUUGCUUUGUGGUCAUUGUUUCACAUUUUCUGAAGCUAUAAAAUCUCUCUUUCCUUCAUGAAAUAGGGAAAGGUUAUAUGGCAAGCCAAGCCAAACUUGGCUAUAGCUUGUAUACUCAUCAUUUGGAAACUAUUUUCUGACAAUCCAACCCUGUACAUGCAAUAUACAUGUAUGAAUGAAGCUGUAUAUCGAUUAUCAAGUCUCAUGUAAAUUUCAUGUCUGUAGGGCCACUGUUUCAUGAUUUGAAUCUGCAGUAUAAAUUUUUAUGCCAGAUCUAUAUUUCUUUUUUGAUGCGAUUAUAAGAAGUAUCAUGUGCAAAACAUCACGAAACUUGAUUUACACCUUCAUUCACGUACGCCAAUCACAUCUAUAGUCUUGAAUUCCCACAAAAUAGUUUCUGAAAUCCGGUCUCCAGUGCUUUAGGAAAGCUCGGCAGAUUGUUACCUUUGUAUAAAUUUAAAAUGUACUGAUGAAAUAUUUAUCAUUUCUAAGAUAAUUUAUUUCGAUUAUGCAGGCAUAUGCUGCUGCUGGAACUUUGGGUCAAAAUUAUGCAAGUAUACUAUUGAUGCUCCUGCGCCUUCGGCAAGCUUGUGACCAUCCACUGCUUGUUAAAGGUUCGACUUCAGAUUCUGUUGAAAGGUUUUCCUCAGAAAUGGCAGCAAGUAUUCCUAAGGAUAUGCUAAUAAACUUAUUGAAGCGUCUGCAGUCAACCUCAGCCAUUUGUGGUGUGUGCAAGGUAGGAUUUUUAAAACAUUUAUAUUUUCAUCUGUAAUCUGGUGUGCGUUUCCUGUAUGAUGCAUGUCUUCCCGUAUUCCUUUUGAAACCUUAAUCUGAAUUAUGAUGUAGACUAUAUAGUACUGUGGUCAAGUGUGGUAUUUGUACUUUGGACGAUGGAUGAAGUUUUUAUGUUUUGCCAUUUGGUCUAUGCUUGAAUCACAUAUUAAUAUGUCGAGUAUCUCCGAGAAUGAUGACAAAGAGUCAAAGAUGCAUCUGUUUUUUUAAAAUGAUUUUGGCUAGGAAUAAAUAUUUUGUCCAAACCUUGCUGUCAUGCACUAAUUUUUGGAAGUACGUGUACCAUCUGGCAGGAUCAUAUUAUACAGUACUCAGCUGCAUGUAUUUUCAUUUCUGGAUCCAACUAGUUAGGCGUCCUUUGUUGAUAUAACAUCUUUAUAGGGUUUACAUUACUCCAGCUAUGUUCACCUUUCCACAACACUUUAGAAAAUCUGAUCUCCUGAUUCCUAUGUUUUUGCUUUAUCUAGGGUUGGCCAUUUUAUUCGUACCAUGGGAUCUACACCAUCUCAUGCCUAACAUCUCGACUUCAUCCCAAACUAUUCUCCUUUAAUACUUAUUUUAUUAUUUAUAAUUUUUAAUUGCCUCAUCCUAAUUUCUAUUAUUUACCUUAUCUACAAAAUUUCCUUUUCUCUAGCUACAUAUCUGUCAUAGCAAUUAUAUUUACUUCCCAUCAUGCUGACAAUGUUAAAUCAUUGUUGGCUUCACACAAGUUUUUUAGUUUUCCAUUUUGAUUUAGAGGGCAUUUUCUUUUUAACACAAUACUUUUAGGCCUUGAGGCCAUCUACUUUUGAAAGAGUUUUACAUUAAUUCAGUUCCUUGCUCUUGGGCCUGUGCUUCUGUAUCCGUUGAACUGUAAAACCAAUUUUGGUUAAGAGCACAGUCUAUUUUUUAAUUUUGAACUGGCGCAGUCAGAAAGUCUGUAUUGUUUCUGCAAUGGCAUCUUAGCUGCUACUUUCUUUAGUUUUCAUUGUGGUCUCUUGAUGGAAAGCCAUGUGCUUCUUCAUUGUAAAGAAUUUGGAUCACAGAAUACACGGAUAUGAUUUGUGUUCAUUCUGUGGCUGAAGAAGGUGUAGUAUCUUUUAUAGGCUGGAUAGGUAACUUGUUUUAAUUUUGUACCAAGAAUUCGUUAACGUGGUUGCAAAUGCUAUAAUCAGUUUUACUAUUUGCCUGCCCCUAGAUCUUUUUAUUUGACUACAUAUUCUGUAUGAUUUACAGGAUCCACCUGAAGAUGCAUUUGUCACCAUGUGCGGGCAUGUUUUCUGCUAUCAGUGUGUAUCAGAAAAUUUGACGGGAGAGGAUAAUAUAUGUCCUUCACCAAGAUGCAAAGAAGAACUUGGUCCUGACUUGGUAUUUUCCAAAGCUACCUUACGAAGUUGUAUAUCUGCUGACCAAGAUGAUAAUCCCUCUAGUUCCUCCUUGCACGAAAAAUCCAGAGUUGUGCAGAGAGACUACAUUUCUACUAAAAUAAAAACUGCUAUGGAGAUUCUUAUGUCUCAUUGUAAAUCAUAUGGGGGUAUUUCUUCAAGAAGGGAGGAACUAUCAGAAACAGGUGGUGUGUGUUCAGAUGCACAAAUUGAAGCGCCAAGAAAGGCCAUUGUCUUUUCUCAGUGGAUUGGCAUGUUGGAUUUAGUUGAAAUGGCAUUACUUCGGACUGAUCUACAGUAUAGGAAACUUGACGGUACAAUGACAUUAACUGCCAGAGACAAGGCUGUUAGAGAAUUCAAUACUGACCCUGAGGUAGCUUUCUUAUCAUGAGAUUUUAUUUUAUUUUCUUAAUUUUCCCAAAAACAUACAUUUCUUAUGUUCAUUAUCCUAAAACCAAUUUAGGCGAUGUCUUGUUUUUUUGGUAACCGUUAAUCACAAAUUUAUUUUCCACAUGCACCCUGCCCCCACUGGGGUUACACCCCUGAGCUCUUGUACCUAGAUGAGGGGGUAUCCCCUAGUCUAAGUCUUUGCGGAUAAUUAUUUGAGAUGUCUAAAACUCAGGUUACAAGAUUGACACAUCUGCCGUAUCUUUGUGAAACGGUUACCAAUUUACCAUGGUUAGAUGAAUAUGUGUAGAAGAUAUCAUAGACAAGAUAUAAGGUGAAACUACCUUUUAAAGUACAUUUAGUUUUAUAGGACUCUAAAAAUUAUAUAGUAUUUAUCUUAUUCAUCAAUUUUGGAUAUGAAAUCACAUGACAUAUGAUUUAUUCAGGGAUGCUGCACCAUUUUCUUAAACUAUUAAUCUUUGCCUAUGACUUCUAUGCUUAAACCUAAAAUUUCUAGGCCAGUUGAAAUCACAUCCUAUUUAACUUGCUUUAAUAGAGAAUUAUCAUAAUCUGUUAUUGGUUCCAUAUAUUAUAAAUAUGCUUGUUUCAGGUGACAGUUAUGCUCAUGUCCUUAAAAGCUGGUAACCUUGGUCUAAACAUGGUUGCUGCCUCUCAUGUAAUUCUUUUGGAUCUUUGGUGGAAUCCAACUACUGAAGACCAAGCUAUUGACAGGGCUCAUAGAAUUGGGCAAACUCGUCCUGUUACUGUAUCACGGAUCACUAUUAGCAAUACAGUUGAAGAUCGGAUAUUAGGUCUUCAGGUAUGUUGCAAUUUCUUAUUUUGACUUUUGAAGUAUGAGGUUUGUCUUGCUACGACUAUCAACUCUUUUGAGUGAUCGGGGUGUUUUUUUGACAGGAUUUAGGAUGAUCGAUUAGAUCCAAUCUAUAAUGCCUCUAUUUUUUACUUCAUAAUUAUUUUUCACAUUAUUAUCAAUACAGCUAAAUGAGACCUCAAAUUGAAUUUUCCAUAUUGUAAAGAUUUUACACUUGAUGCGUAGCAAUAAUUUGUAAAUUCUUUGGAAGAGUAUAUUUCCAAAGAAUCAAAAAGGCAUUCAUUUUCUUUCCUACGCUGAAACAAAUUAUGGGUCCUGUUUAUAUGGAGCGAGGACCAUUGAGUUAGGUUGUCUAGGAAAACUCAUUGUUUCCACAUGAUUAUACUUUUGCAGGAAGAGAAAAGGAAAAUGGUUGCAUCUGCAUUUGGUGAGGAUCCGAGUGGGGGCACAGGAAGCCGCUUAACUGUGGAAGACUUGAGAUAUCUGUUUAUGGGGAAUUAGUUACUUGUUUGAAAGUAGCUAACAUUUUGUGGUGUCCUUUGGGACAUGGUAUGUCUGAACUUCUAAUACUUCCAGGAAACUAGUUAUUAGCAAUUAGGCGUAGUUAUUACUAUUAGCUCUGGCAGAACUUAUGGCUGAGCUCUGCGUAAAUCCGCCACCAGUUUUUGGGCCAGCAAAAAGCACGUUCUACUUGUCAUCAACUUUGUAGCUACCAUGGUGGAACUGAUGUAAAUAACAGUAAUAUCUUUUAUGAAGCAGCUAGUAAUGAACUAUUGCUAGAUCACCUUUUUACAGUAGCAACUACAUAUUGAAUAUCUUUUACAUUUAGAUUGUUAUCAUUCCUUUAUGGAAUUAGGCAGUUAGGAAUAAUAUUAAGUCAUCAAGUUUUCAAUUUUUUUAUAGAACUCAUUAGAACAAACUCAUCAGAAUUAAAAUAUUACAGUAUCAAUGAUUUCAAAGUUUUUUAGGGUUAUAUAUCAAACUGGAGACCCAUUGCGUUAAAAUAUCUCAUCUUAGCCACAUAUCUUAUCGGAGACUCGUUUAAGCUACUAUAAACAAAAUAUAUCAUUUUACCAACAUUACUAUUCAUACAUUUUUACUUAAUCAUUUAUAAAAAAUUAACCAUUUGUUUUUUUUACUACAAAACCACUUCGAGUACCUUCAUAAAUACAUCUAAUAUUUAUCAAAAUAAUUUGAAAAUUAAUAAAGCAACAUAGCUAUGUAUUUAAAAAAAAUAUUUAGUUAUAAAUAUAUAUNNNNNNNNNNNNNNNNNNNNNNNNNNNNNNNNNNNNNNNNNNNNNNNNNNNNNNNNNNNNNNNNNNNNNNNNNNNNNNNNNNNNNNNNNNNNNNNNNNNNNNNNNNNNNNNNNNNNNNNNNNNNNNNNNNNNNNNNNNNNNNNNNNNNNNNNNNNNNNNNNNNNNNNNNNNNNNNNNNNNNNNNNNNNNNNNNNNNNNNNNNNNNNNNNNNNNNNNNNNNNNNNNNNNNNNNNNNNNNNNNNNNNNNNNNNNNNNNNNNNNNNNNNNNNNNNNNNNNNNNNNNAUAUAUAUAUAUAUAUAUAUAUAUAUAUAUAUAUAUAUAUAUAUAUAUAUAUAUAUAUAUAUAUAUAUAUAUAUAUAUAUAUAUAUAUGGCAUUGCUCAAAACAGAACACCUUUAAAAGAAGAACAAAGAAGAACACUUUGGAAUCGAACAUAAAAUCUCAUCUAAAACUUGAAUUAAAUUCUAACUCUUUAAGCUAAUUAACCAUUUAUUAUGAAUAAUAAUAGUAUCUAGCAUGUUUAACAACAAUUAUGGAUUAAAAAUAACACGAUUCUAUGUGAUAUUAAUCAUGUAAAGAUUAUAUACAUGAUUCUAUUCUGGAUUCUGUUUUGGAUUCUGUUCUGAAUUCUAUAAUGUUUCAUAUUAAUAAUUUGGAUAGCUUUGGAUGUUAGAUUUCAUAUAUUAAGUUUAGUUAGUGCUUCACUAUGUAAUUAUAAUCAUAACAAAUCAUUUUUUAUGAAAGAAAAGGUGUUAUGAUAGUGUUCUGUGUUGUCCUUUUUUUAAAGUGUUCUGUGUGGAGUGCAACAUAUAUAUAUAUAUAUGUGUGUGUGUGUGUGUGUGUGUGAUAACCAUAACUAUGUUGCUUUAGAAAAUUUUAAAUUAUUUUGAUAAAUAUUAGAGACAAUUACGAAGGUACUUGAAGUGGUUUGACAAAUAGUUGAUUUUUGAUAAAUGAUUAAGUAAAGAGGUAUUAAUGAUGAUGUGGAUAAAAUGAUAUAUAUUUUGUUUGUAGUGGCUUUAUCGAGUCUUCGAUGAGAUGGGUGGCUAAAGUGAGAUAUUUGGACGAAAUGGGUGGCCAGGUUGAUAUAUAACCCAAGUUUUUUAAUAUAUGCUAUGUACUGUAUCCAAAAAUGCCGAAAUAAAAACACAAUAUAGGCAUAUUUUGUGGUAUUGCCUUGGAUAACUUAUAUUUUUAAAGUGGCUUGUAUUACUUUUUCAUAGAGUAAAAUAGCUGCAAUGCUGCUUCUUGCUUACUCUUGAAACAAACUUCUGGGAACUUGAGCUGUAUGACUAGAGUUGGGGGCCUGGGGCACAGCCACGCAUUUGGUUCUAGCGUGAUAAUGAAAUAAGCUUAUAUAAAAAUGUAUAGUUAAAACUACUGAUUAACUAAAAGUGAAUUAUUAUUAGUUUAAACGUGAAUUAUUAUAAGUGGAUUUUAAGUUAAUUAAUUUUUUAAAAUAGAUUUACUUACCAGUGAAGUGUUAUUUAAAUCUAAAAAUUUACAGCAUUUUUCUUGAAAAAACAAGUCAUUUAAUACAAGAACUCGUAAUAACACAUUCCUAGAUAAAUAUCAAACGCGAAGGUUACAUUUAUCAUUGUUGUUUAUCAAUUAUCAUAAAAUAUUUACCACUGCAGUAAUAAUUAUUUAAACAGUCGAAAAAGAAUAUAGUGACGGGAACUAAAAUCAAACAAACAGAUAUCAAUGAAAUAUACUCUCAAAACCAGGCGGACAAAGAAAAUAAGAGCAUGUUUGGCUAAAUUACGGACUUAGGUGGUUUAAUGUGACUUAGAGCAAGUUCAAUAGUGUUUUAAUGAGUGCCUUGUGAAAGUAGUUUAGAAUAUCAUUUUUGCACAUUCACUCCAAUAAAAAACCUUAUCCACAAGCUUUAUUAUUAAGAUAGUAAUAUAUUUAAAUAAUUAUUGGAGGGAAAUGAAAAGGAGGGAGGAGAGAGAUAAAAGGAAACUAUUUUUUUUUUUAUUAAUAAAGCUCUUGUUAGAUGUCCUAAUGUUUUAAGGCAUUACUAGGACACUGUUGAAAAAUAUUUUUAAUCAAGUGCCUUAUAUUAUGACUCAGGAUAUUAAAUAAGGCAGGCGCUGGACUUGCUCUUACGAAGCUGACUUAUAUACGGUAAGUUAGAAAUUUAAAAUAUCUGUUUGGAUAAUUUUGACUUAUUAAUGACUUACUAGCCUUUAACACGUGCGAAGCACGAACGAGUAUAUACUUCGCAAAUUACUUUUUAAAUUUUAACAUUAUUUAAUAUUUUGGUAUUAAUGAGUUGAAUUUUAAUUAAAUUAUAUUAACCAACUAAUUAUAAUUACCUUUUACAAUUUAUAAUCUAUUUAUAAAUAUUUUUCCGUUAUUAAUAUGUGAUAAUUUUUUAUUCAAUUAAUUUUAAAUCAGAUUUGUCAUAUUCUGUAUAUCUUAAUAGGUAUGGGAAAAAAAUUAUCGCGUAACAGAUUAAAGUUGGAAAGGGUUAUGUAAUUGUUAGUGUUUGUAUUGAAAUAGAACACGUGAGAGUCAAAAAAAGUUAUAUGAAGAUUUUUGUUAAAAAAGAUAUUCAAUUGAAUAUUUAUAAUUUUAUUUUAUAAAAUAUUGUAUGACAAUGUAUUGUCAUGAGCGUUUUUAGUAUUUGAAAUUAUUUAACAAUGUAAGAGUAAUAGAUCUCCACAUAUUGUAUAGAUUUGUAGUUUUAAAGAGAGAGUAACAAAACAAAAAAUAUAAUUAAAAAUUUGGAUUACAAAUUAUGUCACAUAGAAAAUUCUAGCUGAGGGUUUCUGGAGGGAGAUGAGGGUUGGAGUUCUCUGUGAUGUAGACUAUCAAAAUAAUAUGUGACUCACGCUGCAUUUAGCAUUAAUUAACAAAAGUAUUGCGUUUAGUCUCUUAUCUAUUACUCAUUCGGUCUCAUUUUAAAUGAUUUUUUGACACGUAUAUUGGAGCGUAAAAAAAAAAUCUAUACUUAAUAAAAAAAAUUUAAUUCUUUUAUCAAAUAAAAGUUUAGAUUCUAAACUUUUUUUUAUAUAAGUUUUAUAAAUAAUAAUUAUGCAUAAUAUUUUUAACAUUUUAAAAUACGUAUAAAAAAUUAAAAUUAAUUAAAAAUGGGACCAAGGGAAUAGUAACUAUUACGGGGUUUUGGUUUAAUCAUUAACUAGCUUAUAACCCGUGCAAUGCACGGGCAGUUAUAAUAUUUAUUGUUUUUGAAAGGAUAUCUUCGAUAAACAAUUAUUUAUUUAUUUGUUUUGGUAUUUGUGACAAACAUUAAAUUUAUGAAAGGAUAUCUUCGAUAAACAAUUAUUUAUUUAUUUGUUUUGGUAUUUGUGACAAACAUUAAAUUUAAAUUCAUUUAGUAAUCCUCCCAAUAGGUCAUUAAUAUAAUUGAUUAAUCAAAGGUGGAUAGUCAUGUUUAGCAAGUAUUUCUAAAAUACCUUUUUACCAAAAUACAUUUGUUUUUCAAAAAGAAUUUUUAUUACGCAAUAGUCAUGAGGAAUUUUUAUCAAUUGCCUCUCUCUUACUAUUGUAACAUCAAAAAUACAUGAUCAAGGAUGAAAUAUCAUCUACAUAUGAUAUUCUUUAAAUAUCUCAUGUAACAUUAUUUUCAAAAUAUAUUUAAGGUAAUUUAUUCCAUAUUCAAACAAUUUUUUAUCUUUCAGAAUAAAUUAUUUUAAAUCUUUCAAAAAUUAUAGAUCCUUCAUUUUUCUAAGGUUUUAUUUUUCUCUAGAAGCAUUUAUAUUCUCCAUAUUAAUAUUUAUCUCAAAAAUAUUAAUAUCAGAUUUUAUCUUAUUUUGGGAUAUUAUUCUCGGUCUCUCAAAUUCAUUAUUUUUCAAAGAAAAAUAUUUCCGAUACUUAGAAAGCUCUUUCAACUUAUCAAAAUCAUGAUUUAUCAUGAACAAUAUUUUUAUAAGUAUUUUGGGAUAAAAACAUUCGUCAAAGAGUCUACGUGAUUUGACUAAAAGACGAACUAUAUCAGUUUUUCAAAUAUCGGUAUUCGUUAAUAAAAUCAAUUUAAAUACUCAAAAAAAAUUUCCCAUCCUCAAAAGUAUUUUAUAUUUAAGGGAGUAUAUUUUAAGUAUUUAAUCAAAUCUUAACUUUGGUCAAAAACUCUCGUCUAAAUCUCAAAAGAAUUUUCGCUCGUUAUUUGGACCCGAAAAACGUUUUAAUCAUUUUAAUUGCAAAUAAAAUACUUCCACUUGUCCAAAUGACUUGAAACUUGAGAUUAGCCAGUUAUAUAUUUUUCUUAGUGCAUGGUUAAAGUUUCGUAAUUUUUCGAGGACUUUCGUUCGGGAGCGUUUUUCUGUCUGUCGUCCCGAUCUUCCACCGAACGUUUGACCAAGCUAGAGUUGACCAAAAAUUACCAAACUUGGCAGAAUACCAUUUUCCAAUAUUCUAAGAAUUAUCAUAUUUUUUCCGGAAUUUAUUGAGCACGUUCGAAAUCUCGUAAUAUUUAGUGUAACGGAAUUUAAUCGGUUUCUCGAAAUGCGUGCCACCUUAUCCACAAGCAUGGAGCAUUGAGAUGUGUGCCAAUAAAUGCAGGUCAACUAGUGUACUUAAUGCAUUGGCAAGCAUGGGGGACAAGAAUGACAAGCAUGGGCAAGUGGGGCCAAUAUGUUUUUAGUUUGAAUUUAAUCAUUUUAAAUUCAAAUGCUUCCACCAAUUUUGCCUAUAAAUACAAGACUUCCCCCAUUCAUUUCUCAUAAGCUAACAAGCAAGAAAGUGAUGAGAUUUUGCAAGUAGAAGCUCUCUCCAAAUUUAUACAAACACAUUUUUCAUCUACUUCAUCUUUAAAACCUCCGUCCCGCUCGGUAUAUUCGUAUAUUCUCGAGGUUUUAAACACCGAGGCUUUGCUUCACCCAACCAAGCCCCGUACCACUUUGCUUGCACCAAAACCACUCUUUCCGACCUCCCGAAGGGCUGUCCGAAGUUCGUCCAUAAGCCAAAUUCCUACCGAACCUCCGGCGAAUUUUUCCGGCGAACUUUUUACGAAAAUCGUGUAAGUGGUUUCUUUAGCUUCGUCUUAUCCGAGUCUUAACCGACCGAAAUUAAAAGAGCUAUCAAGCCAAAUUUCUCUUCAUCUCAAAGCUCUCUUUUUCUUUAACAAUACAAAGCACAAGAGUUGGCCGCUCGUAUUAUCUAUAAUAUACCUACGUGUGCGUGUGUGUUAUACCCUAUCUUGUUGACGUGAAGAUUCUCAUACGUGCUGAGCUUUCGUGAGAAUAUUUGCUUAAACGAGUUUGGUGGUGGUCCUCACCUUAGUGAGUUGAUUUAUACGUAUAUUUAUAUAUAUCACCAACACUUUGUUCACACACCACAAAAUACCCGUAGCUUGUCCCACGCGAGAUUCGCUCGGUAUUUCUAAAAUCAACUAUAUACACAUAUUAUAGCGCGGAUAUUGUCGCGGAUUAUUGUGGCCCAAAACUCUAUAUCAUAGUGCAAUUGUUAAAGAUAGUCAAGAACUCACUCUCUCGUGCAAAACGAUAUUUAUAUUUAAAGAGGGGUUAUCUUGAAACGAAGUUGUAAAAUAAAACACUUCGUAAUAUUCACUUCGAAGGUUAUCAUACCCGAAGUAUUUCAUAUACUUAGUCAAAGACAAGUAUAUUCGUCCAUAUAGCCAAAAGAGCUUAAAAGGACUUAUUUUAUCUACAAACUCCAAGACACUCAAAUAUCAUUUAUUUGGAGGAUUUUGUACGAUAAACGUAUUCUUCGAUUAUAAAUACAAAUCUAUCGAAAAAGAAUACUUGCAAGGUCUUAAGCUUUAUAAAAGCUUAAAGGACACUUGAUCUUUAAUAUUCUAAGACCAAGAAUAUUAUUGAAACACUCGGACUAGUGAAUCUUGUCCAAAACUCUUUUUAUAACCAAGGUUGUCUUUCGUAGAUAUUGUUUUCUAGAUUUUGCAGUGAGGUGAAGUGAAGUGAGGUGAUCUUCGUUCUAAGACCCAAGUCCUAGACGAGCUAACGGGGAGUUAGUCGUCUUCGCACCGUGAGGAAGAGGAAAGACCCAAGACCUAAGACCUAAGAUCCAAGACCCGCUUAAGGCUAGAAGAACAAAGACUACACAUUGAGAGAUACAACGAUUUUGAGGAGGUGACGGGGAGUUACGCUCCAAGACAAGUCUUGUAAUUUACAUUUAUAGUGAGGAGGUAACGGGAAGUUACGCUCCAAGAUAUAUAUUUGUAAAGGCUUCUCCGCCUACUGUAAAGGAGUUUCUUUAUAGUAGAGAAAAUCUCGAGUCCGGGGAGGAGCUCGGGGACUGGAGUAGGGGUGAGUGGACUCCAAGGGUUGAGUUAGCCACCGCGAACCAGGAUAAAAUCGCUCGUGUGGUAUUUGUCUUUCUUUUCAUUUACUUCCGCACAUCAUAACUGCUAAAACUCUCGAUACAAGCUUUUAAAAAGGGGAUAAACUUUUUAAAACUACACUAUUAUUUUUAAAUUGGCUAUUAAGCUAUUCAACCCCCCCUUCUAGCUUAAUUAUCCCCUAUAUCGGGACCUAACAGUUUUAUUGUAUAUAUUGUAAGUUUAACUAAUUUUAUUGUGAAAAUAUUAUAUUGAUAGAAUAACGUGGUUAAACAAAUUUUUUAUUUAACGGCCGAAUAAAUUCUUGGCUAAUUAGAAAUUAGGUCAUACAUAUAUAUUUUAAUGAUAAUGCUAAAAUAUACUUUUUACAUGUUAUAAUUUAAAAUAAAUCCAAAUAUAAAACAACUAAUCAACCUUUUAAUAUUUCGUUAUUAAUGAUUAAUAAUAUGGUAUAGAAUAUAUUAUAAGUUAAAUAAAUGCGUAAACCCAAGUUCCGACCCAUCAUAGUGUUUUACUUUAAUAGAUAAUAAAAAAUGUAUCAUAAUAUAUUAUAAAAUAAGGAGUUUCGUGGAUCGAAUACUAACCGACUCACCAAAUUCGAUUGACCGACUAAUCGACCGACUGAACUUUUCAUGUCUCAGCUUUAUUCCUUAACAAUAUAACAAUAUAUAGUAUAGUAUAGAUUUAUAAUAUUACGUUUAAAGUGAGAUCAUUAGAGUAUUUAAAAAUAAUGAUAAUGUAUUUUGGUUGAAAAAUAUCAUCGUUUAUUUUUUAAUAAUUAUAUAAAGUAAUAUUAUAUUUUUAUAUAUAUGUCGCCCGUGUUAAUUGUAGAAGAUUGGGUUUUUUAGUUAGAAAAUCUAAAAAGGAUAAUAUGUUUUAGUUAAAAAGGUAAUUAUCAUAUUUCUCAAUGUUAUUUUAAAAGAUGAAAAUUUUUUAGUUAGAAAAUAUAAAAAUGAUAAUAUAUUUUAGUUAAAAGAAAAAAUUAGUUAUAUAAAUAAUCCCAUAUUUCGACUCAUAGGCUCGUAUUUCGGUCAAGUAUCGAACGACCAAACUUUUAAUGUUUCGGCUUUAAUAUUACUAGCUUAUAACCCGUGCAAUGCACGGGAUCUUUUUAAUUAUUUUAUAAUUUUUUUAGUAUAUUUAAAAUGAUAAAAAAAUAAAUUAUUUACUAAUAAUAAACCAUAAUUUUAAAUUAAAUAAAAAAUAGGAAGUUAUAUUAUUUUUUAAGGCGGAACUAUUUUUGCAGUGCCAACCUCUUAUCUCUUCCUUUUGUUCACGUCUUAAUUUUUGACCUUUGUCAUCGUGCUUGUUUAGUAUCAUUGUUAUAUAUUUCGUAAUAUCAUAUAUUAUGAUCAGCUCUUUGUUAAUCUUUUGUGUAUUUUUGAAAUAUAUUUCAUGAAAUGGUAUACUCGUUUUUUAUCACUCUAAUAUAGAUAUUAACAAAAUUUUACAAAAUGAUUUUUACAAAGAUUAGAGGAGAAAUUAGUGAGUAUGAUGUAAAGUGAUUUAUGUUCAAGACCUUGGUCAGUUUUAAAUUUAAAAGAUUUCGAUUUUGUUCCGGAUGUUAAAGAUUCUGCUAUGUAUAAUAUUGUUGGUUAAUUUGUAUUUGUAUGUGAGAAUUUUGUACGUAAUAUCAACUUCUAUUACGAUAAUUUCAUGUUUUUCUCUUGUUUUUUUUGUCGAUAUGUAUUUCUGUAGCAGAUAUCUAUACAUGUGACGCCAACUUCUAUUAGAUUAUAUUUAUAAAUGUAUUUUAUAUUAGAAAUAUGAUAGCUAAUGUGAUUUAAUUAUUUUUUUAAAUAUUUUUAUGGUUCUAGAAUUAGAAUUGGUAAAUAUAGUUUGUUUUGAAUCAAGAAAAGAAAUCAUAAACAUGCAAGAAGAAUGUAGAAAUUGUUUUGGAUCAAGAAAAAGAUUUUGUGUUUGUUCCUCACAUAAAUUCGGCUUAUUAAUUUUAAUAUUGUGCAUAAUAUUAUUUUUGUUUAAUAUGAAAAUAAUUUUCUUGACUGUGUGAUUUAUAUGCUUCUACAAUUAAAACUGGUAGAAAUAUUUAUUUUGGAUUAAAAAAAUUCAUAAACAUGUGAAAAGUAGAAUUUGUUUUGGAUUAAAAAAAGAAUAUUUUGACUGGCAAAAAAAAAGAAUAUUUUGAAUUUAAAAAUUAUAAACAUGUAAAAAGUAGCGUUUGUUUUGGAUUAAGAAAAGGAAUUAUAAAUACCCAAAUAGAUAUUAGUUUCCCUAUAGGAUAGAAUUGAAUCUUAUUUUAAUCUAACGGUGAUUAUUUGUUCUGUAUACGAUCGAACAGAAAAAGACCAUACGAUCUCCCUUACGCUUAUUAUACAUAAGUAUAUAAUAGUACAGAUGAGACUAGAGAUGUUCAAAAAAUCCGAAAUCUGAAAUCCGAUCUGAUCCGAUCUGGAAAAAAAUCUGAAAAAUCCGAUCCGAAAAAAACCCGGUCUGGCCCGGCCCGGCCCGAGGGCCUAAAACAGGCCUAAUAUUUUCAAAAAAACCCGGAUAAAAUCCGGAUUUUUGAAAAAUCCGGGCUUUUUAUAACUAAACCGGGCCUAGUAUUUUUGGAAAAGCCCGGCCCGGCCCGGCCCGAUUUUUAAAAAAGCCCGGCCCGAUCUGGUUUGAAAAAAAUCCGGAUUUUUUUGGCCCGGUCUGGAUCUGGCCCGAACAGAUCUUUUGUGCAUCUCUAGAUGAGACAAGGACUCGAGGAGACAAAUUAUGAACCCACUCCAACUUUAAACACUCCUCCGCUUCUUUGCAUUCCCGUUAGGGCUCCUGUUCGUUUUCCCCUGCAAAUGCAAAACCCAUUCGCAGUAACUAAAAUUCACCUCUUUUCACUGUCAGUGCAUUACAAAACCACCAUUUACAGGUAAAAAAUUCAUGUAUGUUUAGUUUUACUCGUUUUUUAUGUUUAGUUUUACUCGUUUUUAUUUUGGCCUGCACAUUGUUUCUUGAUUUUCUUGAUUAUGGUUCAAUCAGUGUUGUUAAGUUGGAAAUUGAGUUUGUUUUGUUCGAAAAAUGUGAUUUUCUUAAGAUGGUCAGUCUUGAUUGUGCUUAAUGUUGUUUGAAUUUAAGUGGGUUGUCAUUAAGUUAUGUAAAAGUGAGUUAAUUUUGGGGUUUGGUUCUUGCAUGUUUGUGUAUGUAUUUGUGGAUAAUUGGAGUGAUUCGAGUUUUAGGGCUCGUGGGAAAUGGGGGUGGUUUGGAUUGAUGCUUGAUCUUAUGUUUGUUGUGCUAGUUUUUGAGUGGAUUUUUUGUUUAGCCUAAUGAUUUUUAUAAUGUAGCGGAAGAAUUGAUAAAUUAAGCAUCUGUGUGUGUAUUUACUAAUGGUUAUGUGUUGUAAUAUUUUUGGCUUGGAGGAAAUGGUGCUGGUUUGGUGGAUGUCUGAUUUUCUGUCUGAUUGUGCUAAUACACGAUUUUUUGAUGAUUCUUUUUAAGCUAUUUUGCGGAAUUAUAGACGUGUUGCAAAUGUCUUUAGGCUGGCUUUAGUUGUAAAGGAACAUAUUUCUUGUGGCUGAAUUGGAUUUUCUAGAAAUCAGUUCAUCAGAUAGUGACAGCGAUUGGGAUUUGGACGAGAUCAAGGCAGCAUAUGAUCAAAUUGAUUUUACUGAUUCAGUCAGUCCCGGGGAUAUUCUGUAAACAGUAGAUAAUGCUCGUCCUAAUCUGAUAGGUAGAAGGUUAUAUGUAGCAUACAUGAUCUGAGUAGGGAAAACUGUUGGUGUUUCUAACACAUAUCUUUAAUACCGAUUGUACAGUUUAUGGAGAAUCUUCCAGAGAACCUCCUACUGGAGCAUAUACUUCAAAUGGUACUUCAGCCAAACCAAGCCAAAGAUCGACUACGAAUCAGAGGGUUCUUCCACCACGGGCAAACACAUCCAGUACUGUGAUAACAGGUGAAGCUGGCCUAAAAUAUGACUUUAAAUGUAUUAGUGUUACACCGUUACUAUAAUGUAACACUUGUGUUUCAAUGUAGAUAAUAUGAAACGGUCGCGUAAGUUACAUUCCCAAGCAGCUGUUCAAGACAGAAGCUCAUUAGACCAUAGCCACCAAAAGAAGGCUGGAAAUCACAGGUCAUCAGAUACAACUAACAACUCAGUCCUCUCAAACUUAAAAACAACUCAGGAUACAAAUUCUACGAGUCCGGCUCGUAAAGGUAUGCGCUUCUAUCAAUUUAAAACCUGCACAAUUGCAGCUUUUACCUGAUAUUGAUUGUCCUAAAUUUCAUCUAUAUUUGAUACAGAUUAUGAUCAAUUUACAUCCCAACAAGGCUCUAAAAGGUCCCUUCCAAAUUCUAUUCCGCCGCAAGUACCUAACCCUAGAUCUUUUUAUUUAGCGGAGAAUGUGGGUAGCAGUCAGAUGCAUGAAACAUAUGGAAAUACUUUCUCUGCAGCACGAAAAUUGAUACACGGCAUGGAGCUUGUGAAUCGAACUGGACAGGGCAGUGUUGAUAAAUUUAUGUCCACUACCAGUGGGAGUAGGAUUUUGCCUCUGUCCAUGAUGCAUGGAAAAUCUACUUCAACGUCACAGCACGCCAAUUCAGUUGAUCCUGUUUUUCGGUCUAUGACUGGUGAAGAUAGAGCAGAAUAUGACGAGAGGCUAUUUUUUCAAGCUGCCUUGCAGGUCGUAUUCUCUAGUCAUUAUUAUUAUUUAUACAUAUCCCUUUGUCAUAAUUGCAGAUGACCUUAUUCUGAAUUGCUUCCUAGCUUGUUAUUUGCUAACUAUGUGGUAGACGUUGUAAUUGUACAUUUGAAAGUUUAAGUAUAUAGUAACUCACCCAGUAGCACCUUAAGUCUUCAUCCAAUAGAAUCCAGGUAAAGGUUAGAGUGGUUUAUUGUGACCAUUAACAGGUGCAGCAGUGCAUUAUAUUCUACUUAGGAUGUUGCAGAAAGUUCACAUUUAAGACGUGCUCAAUAUUUUGCAGGAUUUAAACCAACCUAAACUUGAAGAUACUCUACCUGAAGGUUAUAUGACAGUCUCCCUGCUUAGACACCAGGUUUUUUUGUGCUUUUCUUUAAUUUCUCCCAGUCACAUUCGUAUCCAUUACUCUACAUGGUCUUGUUCAAAUGCAGAAGUUUAUAUUGUUUACAGAAAAUUGCAUUGGCUUGGAUGCUUCAAAAGGAAACUAAAAGCCCUCACUGUGCUGGUGGAAUUCUUGCUGAUGAUCAGGUAUAAUCAUUAAUAAUAUAGAUCGAUUGUGUUUAGCAUCUAUCACUAUAGAAUUUGUGGAACGUUCUCUAACACCUUUAUUGUAAUGUUUCAGAUUUCAUUAAUUAAAAAUAUUGCCAGCUAGCAUUUACCAUAUAUUGUGAUCCAGUUGGUGGGGCAUUUCUCUAAUAUCUCUGUUCUGUUUCUUGCAGGGCCUCGGUAAAACCAUUUCAAUGACAGCUCUUAUACUGAAGCAGAAAUUUUUACAGUCGAAAACCAGACCAGAAGUUGCAAGCCAAAUGACCGCUGAAGCCUUAAAUUUGGAUGAUGACGAGGAUAAUGAAAUCACUGUUCUUGAUCAAGGCAAACUAGAUGGAGAAUCUAAUGACCUUGAAUUACUUCCAGAAGCAAGAACUUCUAGACAAGAAUUUAAAAGUUUGUGGCCUCAAGCAGGAACUUUGGUUGUCUGUCCAGCAAGUGUGCUUCGUCAGUGGGCCAGGGAGCUGGAUGAGAAAGUUGCAGCAGAAGUUUCACUUAAAGUUUUAAUUUAUCAUGGAAGCAAUAGAAUUAAGGAUCCUGAU